Molecule: unclassified non-coding RNA, 223 nt
Filed under: uncultured Actinomycetes bacterium
Lineage: Bacteria; Bacillati; Actinomycetota; Actinomycetes
Description: uncultured actinobacterium contains 16S-23S intergenic spacer region
Source: RNAcentral
UCCGAGUUGACCCCGGCAGUAUCCCAUGAGUUCCCACCAUUACGUGCUGGCAACAUAGAACGAGGGUUGCGCUCGUUGCGGGACUUAACCCAACAUCUCACGACACGAGCUGACGACAGCCAUGCACCACCUGUAUACCGACCACAAGGGGGGCCGUAUCUCUACGGCUUUCCGGUAUAUGUCAAACCCAGGUAAGGUGGGGAUGACGUUACACGCAAUAACA